This 253-nucleotide ribosomal RNA is filed under the name uncultured bacterium. RNAcentral describes it as "partial 16S ribosomal RNA". It matches the Rfam family "Bacterial small subunit ribosomal RNA", at positions 524 to 776 of the family's 1533-position model. The record is from RNAcentral.
UACAGAGGGUGCAAGCGUUAAUCGGAGUUACUGGGCGUAAAGGGCGCGUAGGUGGUUUAAUGUGAGGUAUGUGAAAGCCCCGAGCUUAACUUGGGAAGUGCAUAGCUAACUAUUGAACUAGAGUAUAUGAGAGGGUGGUGGAAUUUCCGGUGUAGCGGUGAAAUGCGUAGAGAUCGGAAGGAACGUCAAUGGCGAAGGCAGCCACCUGGCAUAAUACUGACACUGAAGCGCGAAAGCGUGGGGAGCGAACAGG